Non-coding RNA from Rattus norvegicus (Norway rat), 408 nucleotides. NCBI's taxonomy places the organism in Eukaryota, Metazoa, Chordata, Mammalia, Rodentia, Muridae. The record is from RefSeq and is a predicted model, not a curated record.
AGGUGAAGUCAGAUGCCUUUUUCACUAUGUUAUAUAGUGACUUGAGCAACAACUGUAAACAAGGCCCUCCCUGUUAUGUUGCACCUAUGAGACUUACUGUCUGGAGACAUUUUUGAAGAUAUGUGCCUCUGUAACAAAGUUGAUUUUUCAAACGGAGGUUUCCCAAACAGCACAAAAUAAGACAGAGACAUUGAAUAAUCACUGCACGACUUAGUUUAAAAAAUAGAAUGAUGACAAAGCAAACCUGAUGUAUUCUGGUGUAAAUGUAGGAGAUAUAAAUAGAUAACAAGAGAAGCCCUGCGGUGUUUGAGACGACUGAAGAAAUACACAAUGGAAGGUCAAGAGAGUUCUUAGUUCUUGGAGUUUUGAUUCUGUAUGACACUAAAAUUAUACAAGUAUUGCACUGGG